Molecule: long non-coding RNA, 1039 nt
Organism: Ceratitis capitata (Mediterranean fruit fly)
Lineage: Eukaryota; Metazoa; Arthropoda; Insecta; Diptera; Tephritidae
Exons: 4
Source: RefSeq, a predicted model, not a curated record
CGCUACCGAAAUACAAGUGUAAGGUUGGCAUUACUGCACCGCCAUAUUGAUGAAAAAAGGAGUCGUCGUUUCUUGAUUUCUUGGCGUGUGGCGCUGGAAUUUUCUGCAUUAAAUAAUAUAAAUUCGCUGCGUAUCGUUCAGUAAUUGUGUGAGUUUUAUAAAAUCGGUAGAUUUGCGUCAAUCGGUGUGAUCUAAACGUAUUUACGUGUGCUGUAAAAGUCGUUUCAAGUACGGCGAGUGUUGGAUCUUCAUCGACGUCGCAAGCGAAGCGGAGAAGAACCGUAAUUGGUUUUUGUUUUAAAUUAAACUGUUUCAAAAGCUGUUGCUUUGCCGUGUAAUUGAGUGUUGAGGACCUAUAUGUCGGUUUACACAGAACAUGUGUAUAAACAAUCAGUUUCUUCAACUUAACAUUAAAUCUACACUGCAGCAACAACAACAAUAACAACACUUUGAAUCAUAAAUUUUGGAAAGCAAAAGUAAAUUAAAUGAACAUUUUUGUGCAAUUGAAUCAAAUUCAAACGGAGCUAAAAAAUACACAUACACCUAUACAACAACAAUAACAAGAACAUACACAAUCAAAAGUUUAGAUAAAGCAAAGGAUAUACAAAGAAAUCAAGAGCUGGAGCAUUAAAUACAAGAAAUCAAUUCUAAUAUUCAACUACUCCUACAUCAAGCCCAACAAUUGAGAAUAUAGCAGAAAAGCAAAUACACAAUUCGGCUGAUUAACCGUGUUGUUGCUACCUAAAAGCACAGCUACGCAUCUAAAAUUUAACGCACAUCACGCCGCGCAUUAGUUCUCCUGCUUCCCCACAAGGCAAACAAAGAAAAAAGGGGGUUCUGUGUAGACUAACCUCUUACUGAAAUUGAAGUCGAUUUUGCAGUGCAAAUUCAAUUCAAAGAAAUAAACAACUAAAAAAAAACAACACAGAAAGUUGUUGCCAAAGCAGUAGCUUAAAACCGAAGAAAUCCAAGCAAAAUUAGCGCGCCCGUAGCAGUUGGUACAAAAAAUACCGCCGCCGGUACUUCAGCGACCGCCGCU